Molecule: ribosomal RNA, 1474 nt
Filed under: metagenome
Description: bacterial SSU rRNA
Rfam family: Bacterial small subunit ribosomal RNA
Source: RNAcentral
AGAGUUUGAUCCUGGCUCAGGACGAACGCUGGCGGCGCGCCUAACACAUGCAAGUCGAACGAGCAAAGAGGAGCUUGCUUCUCUGAGCGAGUGGCGAACGGGUGAGUAACGCGUGAGGAACCUGCCUCAAAGAGGGGGACAACAGUUGGAAACGACUGCUAAUACCGCAUAAGCCCACGGGUCGGCAUCGACCAGAGGGAAAAGGAGCAAUCCGCUUUGAGAUGGCCUCGCGUCCGAUUAGCUAGUUGGUGAGGUAACGGCCCACCAAGGCGACGAUCGGUAGCCGGACUGAGAGGUUGAACGGCCACAUUGGGACUGAGACACGGCCCAGACUCCUACGGGAGGCAGCAGUGGGGAAUAUUGCACAAUGGGGGAAACCCUGAUGCAGCGACGCCGCGUGGAGGAAGAAGGUCUUCGGAUUGUAAACUCCUGUUGUUGAGGAAGAUAAUGACGGUACUCAACAAGGAAGUGACGGCUAACUACGUGCCAGCAGCCGCGGUAAAACGUAGGUCACAAGCGUUGUCCGGAAUUACUGGGUGUAAAGGGAGCGCAGGCGGGAAGACAAGUUGGAAGUGAAAUCCAUGGGCUCAACCCAUGAACUGCUUUCAAAACUGUUUUUCUUGAGUAGUGCAGAGGUAGGCGGAAUUCCCGGUGUAGCGGUGGAAUGCGUAGAUAUCGGGAGGAACACCAGUGGCGAAGGCGGCCUACUGGGCACCAACUGACGCUGAGGCUCGAAGGUGUGGGUAGCAAACAGGAUUAGAUACCCUGGUAGUCCACACCGUAAACGAUGAUUACUAGGUGUUGGAGGAUUGAUCCCUUCAGUGCCGCAGUUAACACAAUAAGUAAUCCACCUGGGGAGUACGACCGCAAGGUUGAAACUCAAAGGAAUUGACGGGGGCCCGCACAAGCAGUGGAGUAUGUGGUUUAAUUCGACGCAACGCGAAGAACCUUACCAAGUCUUGACAUCCUGCGACGGACAUAGAAAUAUGUUUUUCCUUCGGGACGCAGAGACAGGUGGUGCAUGGUUGUCGUCAGCCCGUGUCGUGAGAUGUUGGGUUAAGUCCCGCAACGAGCGCAACCCCUAUUCUUAGUAGCCAGCGGGUAAGCCGGGCACUCUAGGGAGACUGCCAGGGAUAACCUGGAGGAAGGUGGGGAUGACGUCAAAUCAUCAUGCCCCUUAUGACUUGGGCUACACACGUGCUACAAUGGCGUAAACAAAGGGAAGCGAGCCUGCGAGGGGGAGCAAAUCUCAAAAAUAACGUCUCAGUUCGGACUGCAGUCUGCAACUCGACUGCACGAAGCUGGAAUCGCUAGUAAUCGCGAAUCAGAAUGUCGCGGUGAAUACGUUCCCGGGUCUUGUACACACCGCCCGUCACACCAUGGGAGUUGGUAAUGCCCGAAGUCAGUGACCCAACCGCAAGGAGGGAGCUGCCGAAGUCAGGAUCGAUAACUGGGGUGAAGUCGUAACAAGGUA